Molecule: non-coding RNA, 440 nt
Organism: Musa acuminata subsp. malaccensis (wild Malaysian banana)
Lineage: Eukaryota; Viridiplantae; Streptophyta; Magnoliopsida; Zingiberales; Musaceae
Source: RefSeq, a predicted model, not a curated record
AGUCGGCAACGAAGGCAGUCGAAGAGACGCUCCUUCCCCGGCUGCUUCGGUUUUAGUAAAUGGCGAAGUCGAAGAACCACACCGCUCACAACCAGUCGUACAAAGCCCAUAAGAACGGGAUCAAGAAGCCUCGAAAGCAUCGCCACACCUCCACCAAAGGGAUGGAUCCGAAGUUUCUGAGGAAUCAGAGGUAUGCAAGGAAGCAUAACAAGAGUAACGGUGCCUCAGGUUCUGAGAUGGAGGAGUAGAGCAUGAACACAGUGCAAGAUGGUUUUUUUCAUUUGGAUGUUCUUGUGCUUUUUGACUGUUAGACUGUCUUGGAAUGAUGUCGAUUAAACUUCAUAUGAACAAAAUUUGUCAUUUUUAUAUUGCUUUUCCAACCACGUUGAAAACUUUUAGUGCAAAGUAGUAUUUAUGUUGCAAUAUGUUCUGAUUUCAUG